This 135-nucleotide ribosomal RNA is filed under the name uncultured phototrophic eukaryote. RNAcentral describes it as "partial 16S ribosomal RNA". It matches the Rfam family "Bacterial small subunit ribosomal RNA", at positions 355 to 504 of the family's 1533-position model. The record is from RNAcentral.
UGGGGAAUUUUCCGCAAUGGGCGAAAGCCUGACGGAGCCAUACCGCGUGAGGGAUGACGGCCUAUGGGUUGUAAACCUCUUUUUUCAAGGAGGAAUUCAUGACGUGUACUUGAAGAAUAAGCAUCGGCUAACUCC